RNAcentral lists this long non-coding RNA (392 nucleotides) under Elaeis guineensis (African oil palm). RNAcentral describes it as "long non-coding RNA (EGUI_LNC016016)". The record is from RNAcentral. Lineage: Eukaryota; Viridiplantae; Streptophyta; Magnoliopsida; Arecales; Arecaceae.
CUAUAUUGUCGAGCAUAGCUAACCAACAAGUAGCAAUAUAAGGGUCUCCAUGAAAUGCUAAGGGAGACUACCCUAUCGAGUGCCGCUUGGUUCUGCUGCGCCAAUGCCUCUGUCAGCGUCCUUUCGAAUUAAUUCGUAUGCCGCAUUUCACAAAGCUCAUUUUUUUAAAAGAAAAAAUAUUCUGCAAUGCAGCGUAGAUUACGAUAUUAGACAUAUAGAAGGCAGCAAAAACUCUAUAUUUUUUAUGUAAGGACUAAAUCAUGUCCAGAUGUACAAAACUCCAGCUGCAUGAUCACGUAUUAUUAGAUAACAGUUUUGUUUUACUCUAUGUACUUAAUUGAAAAAUUAGUUUGAUGACAUUCGUAACUGUGAUAAGACAAACAUAAGGCCAC